CACUGCCCGUCGCUACUACCGAUUGGAUGGUUUAGUGAGGGCCUCGGAUCGGCCCCGGCGGGGUCAGCCACAGCCCUGCCGGAGCAUCGAGAAAAUGGUCGAAUUUGACUACCUAGAGGAAGUAAAAGUCGUAACAAGGUUUCUGUAGGUGAACCUGCAGAAG
Molecule: non-coding RNA, 163 nt
Filed under: Struthio camelus australis
Lineage: Eukaryota; Metazoa; Chordata; Aves; Struthioniformes; Struthionidae
Description: Eukaryotic small subunit ribosomal RNA
Rfam family: Eukaryotic small subunit ribosomal RNA
Source: Rfam by way of RNAcentral